This 533-nucleotide ribosomal RNA is filed under the name uncultured bacterium. RNAcentral's name for it is "bacterial SSU rRNA". It matches the Rfam family "Bacterial small subunit ribosomal RNA", at positions 977 to 1509 of the family's 1533-position model. The record is from RNAcentral.
GGCCUUGACAUACUAAGAACUUUCCAGAGAUGGAUUGGUGCCUUCGGGAACUUAGAUACAGGUGCUGCAUGGCUGUCGUCAGCUCGUGUCGUGAGAUGUUGGGUUAAGUCCCGCAACGAGCGCAACCCUUUUCCUUAUUUGCCAGCGGGUCAUGCCGGGAACUUUAAGGAUACUGCCAGUGACAAACUGGAGGAAGGCGGGGACGACGUCAAGUCAUCAUGGCCCUUACGGCCAGGGCUACACACGUGCUACAAUGGUCGGUACAAAGGGUUGCUACCUCGCGAGAGGAUGCUAAUCUCAAAAAGCCGAUCGUAGUCCGGAUCGCAGUCUGCAACUCGACUGCGUGAAGUCGGAAUCGUUAGUAAUCGCGGAUCAGAAUGCCGCGGUGAAUACGUUCCCGGGCCUUGUACACACCGCCCGUCACACCAUGGGAGUUUGUUGCACCAGAAGUAGGUAGUCUAACCGCAAGGAGGACGCUUACCACGGUGUGGCCGAUGACUGGGGUGAAGUCGUAACAAGGUAGGCGUAGAUGA